CAUGCAUCAGCAACGGAGAAAGUCCUGCCAGUUCCCACAACUCCCAGUUUCUGCCUUCAAGACCUACAGACUUUGUCAUGACAACUAAGUUUUCUCCAAUCAGUAGUUCUUACUGACUGGGUCACCCACUUACAGCUCCAUGUUUGGUCAUAAACUUCAGGUGUUACCACUAGAGUAAGGCACUGUCCUUGGCACUUCAUUGUACAUUAUGAUAAAGCAGACAUGAGUUCCUUAAAGAACAUUGUCAUUAUCUUUAUGUCCCCAGUCCUUCACACAGAAUGUAGAA
RNAcentral lists this long non-coding RNA (286 nucleotides) under Bos taurus (domestic cattle). RNAcentral's name for it is "long non-coding RNA NONBTAT008063". The record is from RNAcentral. Lineage: Eukaryota; Metazoa; Chordata; Mammalia; Artiodactyla; Bovidae.